Molecule: ribosomal RNA, 3012 nt
Filed under: Candidatus Iainarchaeum sp.
Lineage: Archaea; Nanobdellati; Candidatus Iainarchaeota; Candidatus Iainarchaeia; Candidatus Iainarchaeales; Candidatus Iainarchaeaceae
Description: 23S ribosomal RNA
Rfam family: Archaeal large subunit ribosomal RNA
Source: RNAcentral
CCACAGUGUCUGUGAUACCGUUUAGUGGAUAACUUGGCUUGGGCCCCGAUGAAGAGCGUGGCAAGCUGCGAAAAGCCCAGGGUAGACGCAUGCAGUCUUUGAGCCUGGGAUUCUUGAAUUGAUCCGAAAGGAUCGGGGGACGCGGUGAAUUGAAUCAUCUUAGUAACCGCAGGAAAAGAAACCAAUUGGGAUGCUGUUAGUAGGGGCGACCGAAAACAGCAGAGAACAAACCGAAUCCGCUGGAGUAAUUCAGUGGAAAUGUGGUGUUUUGCGAGCCGGUUACAACCAUAAGUUCGAGCAGAAGUCGCCUGGAAAGGCGUACCAUAGAGAGUGAUAGUCUCGUAAGCGAAGAAUAGUUGGUUGAUUUCCGGAUUUCGAGAGUAGGGUGCGUCGGAUUUCGCGCCUGAAGACGCGGGCCAUUGACCUGCAAUCCUAAACAUUGACCCAAGACCGAUAGCGUACUAGUACCGUGAGGGAAAGUUGAAAAGUACCCUUGACAGGGGUUGAAAUAGCACUUGAAACUAAACGGUUACAGUUCGGCAGAGGCAUGAAAGAGAAGACGGCUGCAGAAGGAAGUAAUCGCAAGAUUAUUGUACGAUGCGGCCUGAUCAGUGUCCUGUCGUCCGUCUUGAGUCACGGCCUGGGGAGUUGUUUGUUGUGGCAAGACUAAGGAGUUAGAACUCCGGAGUCGUAGCGAAAGCGAAACCGCGCAUCUUGUAAGAGUGAGGCGGGAAGUCUGAAUAAGGCUUUAUAGUCACAGCAGGCAGACCUGAAACCCGUUGCGAACUUUUCCUGAACCAGGCGAAGCCUUCCUCCCGGAGGGCGGAGGCCUUAACCAGUUCUAGUCUAACUGUUUGGAUGAUUUGGGAAAAGAGGUAAUAGGCUAUUCGAGCCGGGUGAUAGCAGGUUCCUCCUGAACGGUCUCUAAGGACCGCUUCGAUGGAGCAUGUGCAUGGUGUAGAGAUACUGAUUAAAAAGUACGGGCCCGAAAGGGUUCGCUUUUUUGUCAAACUCCCAAGCUAUGCAUUGCGUUGAAGUCGAGAGUCGGGGCAGUCGGGUAAGCUGAUUGUCCGAGAGGGGAAAAACCCAGACAUGGGUUAAGGCCCAUAAAUGCUAGUUAAGUGUGAAUAACCAAAAAUGGUCGUCUUUCUAAAACAGUGGGGAGGUUGGCUUAGAAGCAGCCAUCCUUUAAAGAAUGCGUAACAGCUCACCCACCUAGAAAAACGGCGUUGAAAAUUAACUGGGCUAAAACUAGCUGCCGAAACCCAUGGCCACGCAGUUUUGCUGCGUGAUGCAGUAUGGAGGUGUUCGGAUGGCGUCAAAGCAAGGGCGAGAGUUCUUGUGAAGCCGUCUGAAAUAUGGAUCCCAGGGCUAGUAACAACAAAGAAGGAUGAGAAUUCCUUCCGCCGAAAGAGCAAGGGUUCCUUAGCGCUAACGAUUAGCUAAGGGUUAGUCGGUCCUAACUGUCCUCGUAAUGCGAGGAACAGGAAUGGGAAACACGUUCAUAUUCGUGUACCAUGCAACUACGUUUUCGGCAACGAUAGAUCGCUUUUCGACGUUUUGGGCUAGGGAUUGUGCGCUCGUCUGCGCAUUUAAGUGUCAUAAAUCCAUGGAGAACCGUUAAGGUGAGAAGUGGAUUAAAGGCGCGAAUAGCCGAAAGGUUUUCCUAAUGCCUGGAACCCAUGAAAAGAAAAGCGAUAAGGACGUUGCGUGACCGUACCAAGAACUGAGAAAGGUGCUCUGGCUGAACAGGCCUAGGCGUAUCGAGACAAUCAGGUUAUGGGAACUCGGCAAAUUAGCCCCGUAUCUUAGGUAUAAGGGGUGCCAGCGCUUGAAUAAAGUGCUGGUUUCAAUCACGCGAGGAGUCCGACUGUUUAUCAAAAACACAGCUGACCGCAAGUCCGUAAGGAUGAGUAUGGUCAGUGACUUCUGCUCACUGCCAGUAGGUCAAAACCCAAUUCAACGGGUCUAAGCCCUGGUGAAGAGCGGGCCUAACUCUGAGGCUCUUAUGGUAGCGUAAUACCUUGUCGUUUUAUUGGCGACUUGCACCAAGGAAGUAACGAGAUUCCUACUGUCCUUAACCUGAACUCGGUGAACUCACUAUGUGGUGAAUAUGCCACAGACUCCCGAUGGGAAGAGAAGACCCCACGGAGGUUUACAGCAUUCUGAUGUUGUGGUGUGAAUUUUGUUGCAUAGCGUAGCUGGGAGCGUCGAACCCACUCUUGCGGGGGUGGGGAAUGCGAAAGUGUAACACCAGCCUACAAAAUUCACACUGCUUACCGACCCUUUUUGGGUUGGGACACCAUUAGAUGGGCUGUUAGACUGGGGCGGUACACCCCUGAAAAGAUAUCAGGGGUGCCCAAAGGUCUGCUCAGGAGAGUCAGAAAUUCUCCGUAGAGUGCAAGAGCAAAAGCAGGCUUGACCAUCAUCCUAAAAGCACGGAUCGUGGAAUGGAAACAUGGGUCUAGCGAACAUCAGUGUCCCCAUUAAUGGGGGCCUGGUCUGACAGUGAACUUACCCUGGGGGUAACUGAGUGGUCGUGGGUGAGAGUCCACAUCGACCCCACGGAUUGCGACCUCGCCGUCGGCUCUUGGCAUCCUGGCUGUGCAUAAGCAGCCAAGGGUGGAGGUGUUAACUCAUUAAAGCCGAUCGUUAGUUGGGUUAAGAACGGUGCGAGCCAGUUUGGUUACUAUCUAUCGGGAGUGCGGAGUGUCUGAGGGAAAGAUCCAUCUAGUACGAGAGGAACAGUGGGUCGUCGCCUCUGGUGGACCAGUUGUCCGACAGGGCAAUGCUGGGUAGCUACGCGGUACGUCGAUAAAAGCUGAAUGCAUCUAAGCUUGAAGCGACCCCCGAAACUAGACACUCAUUUCCGAACGUCUUUGCGUUGCGACGUGAAGAUCGUAGGAACAAGCGUGCCGGCUAGAAUACCGGUUUGAUAGGCAGCGAAUGUACGCACGAAGCUUCGGCGACGUGUUCAGUUCAGCUGUACUAAGCACGCGAGGGACACUAGAU